CACGUAAGUUGCGAGCGUUGUUCGGAAUUAUUGGGCGUAAAGGGCAUGUAGGCUGUUUUGAAAGCUUGGUGUGAAAUCCCGCAGCUUAACUGCGGAACUGCAUUGAGAACUACAAGACUAGAGUUACUGAAGGGAAACUAGAAUUCCAAGUGUAGGGGUGAAAUCUGUAGAUAUUUGGAAGAAUACCAAUGGCGAAGGCAAGUUUCUGGCAGAUAACUGACGCUGAGGUGCGAAGGUGCGGGGAGCAAACAGGAUUAGAUACCCUGGUAGUCCGCACAGUAAACGAUGUACACUAGGUGUUUGACCAUGAGGUUGGGUGCCAAAGCUAACGUGAUAAGUGUACCGCCUGGGAAGUAUGCCCGCAAGGGUGAA
This 372-nucleotide ribosomal RNA is filed under the name uncultured bacterium. RNAcentral describes it as "bacterial SSU rRNA". It matches the Rfam family "Bacterial small subunit ribosomal RNA", at positions 524 to 898 of the family's 1533-position model. The record is from RNAcentral.